This 429-nucleotide ribosomal RNA is filed under the name Acidobacteriota bacterium. RNAcentral describes it as "Acidobacteria bacterium partial 16S ribosomal RNA". It matches the Rfam family "Bacterial small subunit ribosomal RNA", at positions 355 to 776 of the family's 1533-position model. Lineage: Bacteria; Pseudomonadati; Acidobacteriota. The record is from RNAcentral.
UGGGGAAUUUUGGACAAUGGGGGAAACCCUGAUCCAGCCAUCCCGCGUGUGCGAUGAAGGCCUUCGGGUUGUAAAGCACUUUUGGCAGGAAAGAAACGUCAUGGGUUAAUACCCCGUGAAACUGACGGUACCUGCAGAAUAAGCACCGGCUAACUACGUGCCAGCAGCCGCGGUAAUACGUAGGGUGCAAGCGUUAAUCGGAAUUACUGGGCGUAAAGCGUGCGCAGGCGGUUCGGAAAGAAAGAUGUGAAAUCCCAGAGCUCAACUUUGGAACUGCAUUUUUAACUACCGGGCUAGAGGGUGUCAGAGGGAGGUGGAAUUCCGCGUGUAGCAGUGAAAUGCGUAGAUAUGCGGAGGAACACCGAUGACGAAGGCAGCCUCCUGGGAUAACACUGACGCUCAUGCACGAAAGCGUGGGGAGCAAACAGG